RNAcentral lists this transfer RNA (78 nucleotides) under Escherichia coli. RNAcentral's name for it is "tRNA-Lys". It matches the Rfam family "tRNA", at positions 11 to 71 of the family's 71-position model. From Rfam's summary of the family: Transfer RNA (tRNA) molecules are approximately 80 nucleotides in length. Their secondary structure includes four short double-helical elements and three loops (D, anti-codon, and T loops). Further hydrogen bonds mediate the characteristic L-shaped molecular structure. tRNAs have two regions of fundamental functional importance: the anti-codon, which is responsible for specific mRNA codon recognition, and the 3' end, to which the tRNAs corresponding amino acid is attached (by aminoacyl-tRNA synthetases). tRNAs cope with the degeneracy of the genetic code in two manners: having more than one tRNA (with a specific anti-codon) for a particular amino acid; and 'wobble' base-pairing, i.e. permitting non-standard base-pairing at the 3rd anti-codon position. Lineage: Bacteria; Pseudomonadati; Pseudomonadota; Gammaproteobacteria; Enterobacterales; Enterobacteriaceae. The record is from RNAcentral.
CGCUUUUUUGCUAUCUGCGAUACUCGCAGUUGACUUUUAAUCAAUUGGUCGCAGGUUCGAAUCCUGCACGACCCACCA